RNAcentral lists this long non-coding RNA (201 nucleotides) under Olea europaea (common olive). Its description in RNAcentral is "long non-coding RNA (OEUR_LNC006565)". Lineage: Eukaryota; Viridiplantae; Streptophyta; Magnoliopsida; Lamiales; Oleaceae. The record is from RNAcentral.
AUAUUCACUUUGUGUUUCCCAACAACAUUCGAAAUUUCCAAGAAUUUCAAUCAUUGUUUUCUUCCAUAACUUGAAAAGGUGCGACGUUUGCAAACCCUUAUAACCCCCAAAUACGCCAUUUCAUUGCACCACUAAAUCACGCCUCAUUUUUUCGCGCUUCUCUCUCGCAAUAUUACUGUUCAUCUCCUUGCUUCUCUGCUA